This 460-nucleotide ribosomal RNA is filed under the name uncultured bacterium. Its description in RNAcentral is "partial 16S ribosomal RNA". It matches the Rfam family "Bacterial small subunit ribosomal RNA", at positions 338 to 795 of the family's 1533-position model. The record is from RNAcentral.
CCUACGGGAGGCAGCAGGGAGGAAUAUUGGGCAAUGGACGAGAGUCUGAACCAGCCAAGUAGCGUGAAGGAUGACUGCCCUAUGGGUUGUAAACUUCUUUUAUAUGGGAAUAAAAUGUUCCACGUGUGCGCUUUUGCAUGUACCCUAUGAAUAAGGAUCCGCUAACUCCGUGCCAGCAGCCGCGGUAAUACGGAGGUUCCGAGCGUUAUCCGGAUUUAUUGGGUUUAAAGGGUGCGUAGGUGGAUUGUUAAGUCAGUUGUGAAAGUUUGCGGCUCAACCGUAAAAUUGCAGUUGAAACUGGCAGUCUGGAGUACAGUAGAGGUAGGCGGAAUUCGUGGUGUAGCGGUGAAAUGCUUAGAUAUCACGAAGAACUCCGAUUGCGAAGGCAGUUCACUGGACUGCAACUGACACUGAGGCUCGAAAGUGUGGGUAUCAAACAGGAUUAGAUACCCCAGUAGUC